UUCCCCUACGGGGCGCAGCAGUGAGGAAUAUUGGUCAAUGGGCGGAAGCCUGAACCAGCCAAGUCGCGUGAGGGAAUAAGGCCCUACGGGUCGUAAACCUCUUUUGCCGGGGAGCAAGGGCGGGGACGUGUCCCGGCCCGGAGAGUACCCGGAGAAAAAGCAUCGGCUAACUCCGUGCCAGCAGCCGCGGUAAUACGGAGGAUGCGAGCGUUAUCCGGAUUUAUUGGGUUUAAAGGUUGCGUAGGCGGGCUUUUAAGUCAGCGGUCAUAAUUCGGGGCUCAACCCCGUCCGGUCGU
RNAcentral lists this ribosomal RNA (296 nucleotides) under uncultured bacterium. Its description in RNAcentral is "partial 16S ribosomal RNA". It matches the Rfam family "Bacterial small subunit ribosomal RNA", at positions 334 to 627 of the family's 1533-position model. The record is from RNAcentral.